Anthonomus grandis grandis is the source of this 701-nucleotide long non-coding RNA. RefSeq lists it as uncharacterized. Lineage: Eukaryota; Metazoa; Arthropoda; Insecta; Coleoptera; Curculionidae. The record is from RefSeq and is a predicted model, not a curated record. The transcript is spliced from 5 exons.
GAGAACUCUUUACGAACAUUUGCAAAGCGGCAACAUCAAUAUUGCGACAUGCAUCAAUUAUUCUUUGACGUAGAUCAAAGAUAGUUGCUGGCUGAAUGACGUAUGCCAUUUGUUUCAAGUAGCCCCAUAAAAAAAAAGUCCAGAGGUGUAAAAUCGGGCGACCUGGCUGGCCACUCGGUAGGCCCUCGACGACCAAUCCACCGAUUAGGGACGUCGAGAGGCAAACGUCGGUACAAUAUCUACCGAAUGGCGAAAAGGUGGUGACCAACGUAGAAACCCGUUAUUCAACUUACUAGAAAUGUUCGUCUGCUAUGCAAUAUCCGAGUUCGAAAAACAAUAAAGAGGCAUCACCGAUGCAUUUUUUUCAAUGAAAAUGAAGUGCAGUGAAGGCCUAGUUGUUGUGGUCAUCUACUAUGUCAGCCUGAUUUUGUCUUUUACAGAACCUGCAGUUGCAAACAAUGCCGACCCAUUAAUAAUCCAUAAUAGAUCACCAGGAGUACCGGGAUGUUUUUCUCUGCUUUUCCCCAUAUUUUCUGUGCACAGUACUACGAAACAAACAACAACAGUAGAGGAUGUUGCGGAAGCAGAAGAAUCGGAAGUAGAGGCUGCAGAGGAAGUUGCUGAUAAACCGGAAGAGGAGGUGGCAGAAGAGUAACGAUAAUUUAAAGUGUAUUAAAAGCAAUAAAAUAUGGUUUAUUAUU